Molecule: transfer RNA, 69 nt
Filed under: Felis catus (domestic cat)
Lineage: Eukaryota; Metazoa; Chordata; Mammalia; Carnivora; Felidae
Also listed under: 4 other names
Rfam family: tRNA
About the family: Transfer RNA (tRNA) molecules are approximately 80 nucleotides in length. Their secondary structure includes four short double-helical elements and three loops (D, anti-codon, and T loops).
Source: Rfam by way of RNAcentral
GCCUGGCUCAUUUGGUAGAGCAUGCGACUCUUGAUCUCAGGGUUGUGAGUUCAGACCUCAUGUUGGGCA